AGGGAAUCUUCCGCAAUGGACGAAACUCUGAUGCAGCAACGCCGCGUGAGGGAAGAAGGUCUUCGGAUUGUAAACCUUUGUCCUUGGUGACGAAACAAAUGACGGUAGCCAAGGAGGAAGCUCCGGCUAACUACGUGCCAGCAGCCGCGGUAAUACGUAGGGAGCAAGCGUUGUCCGGAUUUACUGGGUGUAAAGGGUGCGUAGGCGGCUCUGCAAGUCAGGCGUGAAAACUAUGGGCUUAACCCAUAGACUGCGUUUGAAACUGUGGGGCUUGAGUGAAGUAGAGGUAGGCGGAAUUCCCGGUGUAGCGGUGAAAUGCGUAGAGAUCGGGAGGAACACCAGUGGCGAAGGCGGUCUACUGGGCUUUAACUGACGCUGAAGCACGAAAGCAUGGGUAGCAAAC
This 403-nucleotide ribosomal RNA is filed under the name uncultured bacterium. Its description in RNAcentral is "bacterial SSU rRNA". It matches the Rfam family "Bacterial small subunit ribosomal RNA", at positions 356 to 773 of the family's 1533-position model. The record is from RNAcentral.